RNAcentral lists this ribosomal RNA (465 nucleotides) under uncultured bacterium. RNAcentral describes it as "bacterial SSU rRNA". It matches the Rfam family "Bacterial small subunit ribosomal RNA", at positions 338 to 795 of the family's 1533-position model. The record is from RNAcentral.
CCUACGGGUUGCAGCAGUGGGUAAUAUUGCACAAUGGGGGAAACCCUGAUGCAGCCAUGCCGCGUGUAUGAAGAAGGCCUUAGGGUUGUAAAGUACUUUCGGUGAUGAGGAAGGUGCUUGGUCUAAUAGGCCAAGUAAUUGACGUUAAUUACAGAAGAAGCACCGGCUAACUCCGUGCCAGCAGCCGCGGUAAUACGGAGGGUGCGAGCGUUAAUCGGAAUGUCUGGGCGUAAAGGGCAUGUAGGCGGAUGAUUAAGUUAGGUGUGAAAUCCCCGAGCUCAACUUGGGAAUUGCAUUUAAAACUGGUCGUCUAGAGUAUUGUAGAGGAAGGUAGAAUUCCACGUGUAGCGGUGAAAUGCGUAGAGAUCUGAAGGAAUACCAGUGGCGAAGGCGGCCCCCUGGACAAAGACUGACGCUCAGAUGCGAAAGCGUGGGGAGCAAACAGGAUUAGAUACCCGGGUAGUC